This 335-nucleotide ribosomal RNA is filed under the name uncultured Clostridium sp. RNAcentral's name for it is "bacterial SSU rRNA". It matches the Rfam family "Bacterial small subunit ribosomal RNA", at positions 355 to 707 of the family's 1533-position model. The record is from RNAcentral. Lineage: Bacteria; Bacillati; Bacillota; Clostridia; Eubacteriales; Clostridiaceae.
UGGGGAAUAUUGCACAAUGGGGGAAACCCUGAUGCAGCAACGCCGCGUGAGUGAAGAAGUAUUUCGGUAUGUAAAGCUCUAUCAGCAGGAAAGAAAAUGACGGUACCUGACUAAGAAGCCCCGGCUAACUACGUGCCAGCAGCCGCGGUAAUACGUAGGGGGCAAGCGUUAUCCGGAUUUACUGGGUGUAAAGGGAGCGUAGACGGUUUUGCAAGUCUGAAGUGAAAGCCCGGGGCUUAACCCCGGGACUGCUUUGGAAACUGUAGGACUAGAGUGCAGGAGAGGUAAGUGGAAUUCCUAGUGUAGCGGUGAAAUGCGUAGAUAUUAGGAGGAAC